GAUUGAACGCUGGCGGCAUGCCUUACACAUGCAAGUCGAACGGCAGCACGGGUGCUUGCACCUGGUGGCGAGUGGCGAACGGGUGAGUAAUACAUCGGAACAUGUCCUGUAGUGGGGGAUAGCCCGGCGAAAGCCGGAUUAAUACCGCAUACGAUCUACGGAUGAAAGCGGGGGACCUUCGGGCCUCGCGCUAUAGGGUUGGCCGAUGGCUGAUUAGCUAGUUGGUGGGGUAAAGGCCUACCAAGGCGACGAUCAGUAGCUGGUCUGAGAGGACGACCAGCCACACUGGGACUGAGACACGGCCCAGACUCCUACGGGAGGCAGCAGUGGGGAAUUUUGGACAAUGGGCGAAAGCCUGAUCCAGCAAUGCCGCGUGUGUGAAGAAGGCCUUCGGGUUGUAAAGCACUUUUGUCCGGAAAGAAAUCCUUGGCUCUAAUACAGUCGGGGGAUGACGGUACCGGAAGAAUAAGCACCGGCUAACUACGUGCCAGCAGCCGCGGUAAUACGUAGGGUGCGAGCGUUAAUCGGAAUUACUGGGCGUAAAGCGUGCGCAGGCGGUUUGCUAAGACCGAUGUGAAAUCCCCGGGCUCAACCUGGGAACUGCAUUGGUGACUGGCAGGCUAGAGUAUGGCAGAGGGGGGUAGAAUUCCCACGUGUAGCAGUGAAAUGCGUAGAGAUGUGGAGGAAUACCGAUGGCGAAGGCAGCCCCCUGGGCCAAUACUGACGCUCAUGCACGAAAGCGUGGGGAGCAAAUAGGAUUAGAUACCCUGGUAGUCCACGCCCUAAACGAUGUCAACUAGUUGUUGGGGAUUCAUUUCCUUAGUAACGUAGCUAACGCGUGAAGUUGACCGCCUGGGGAGUACGGUCGCAAGAUUAAAACUCAAAGGAAUUGACGGGGACCCGCACAAGCGGUGGAUGAUGUGGAUUAAUUCGAUGCAACGCGAAAAACCUUACCUACCCUUGACAUGGUCGGAAUCCCGCUGAGAGGUGGGAGUGCUCGAAAGAGAACCGGCGCACAGGUGCUGCAUGGCUGUCGUCAGCUCGUGUCGUGAGAUGUUGGGUUAAGUCCCGCAACGAGCGCAACCCUUGUCCUUAGUUGCUACGCAAGAGCACUCUAAGGAGACUGCCGGUGACAAACCGGAGGAAGGUGGGGAUGACGUCAAGUCCUCAUGGCCCUUAUGGGUAGGGCUUCACACGUCAUACAAUGGUCGGAACAGAGGGUUGCCAACCCGCGAGGGGGAGCUAAUCCCAGAAAACCGAUCGUAGUCCGGAUUGCACUCUGCAACUCGAGUGCAUGAAGCUGGAAUCGCUAGUAAUCGCGGAUCAGCAUGCCGCGGUGAAUACGUUCCCGGGUCUUGUACA
Molecule: ribosomal RNA, 1362 nt
Filed under: uncultured beta proteobacterium
Lineage: Bacteria; Pseudomonadati; Pseudomonadota; Betaproteobacteria
Description: bacterial SSU rRNA
Rfam family: Bacterial small subunit ribosomal RNA
Source: RNAcentral